This 483-nucleotide ribosomal RNA is filed under the name uncultured bacterium. Its description in RNAcentral is "bacterial SSU rRNA". It matches the Rfam family "Bacterial small subunit ribosomal RNA", at positions 28 to 507 of the family's 1533-position model. The record is from RNAcentral.
GAUGAACGCUGGCGGCGUGCCUAACACAUGCAAGUCGAACGAAGCGCUUCCGCUAGAUUUUCUUCGGAGAUGAAGGCGGCUGCGACUGAGUGGCGGACGGGUGAGUAACGCGUGGGCAACCUGCCUUGCACUGGGGGAUAACAGCCAGAAAUGGCUGCUAAUACCGCAUAAGACCGAAGCGCCGCAUGGCGCAGCGGCCAAAGCCCCGGCGGUGCAAGAUGGGCCCGCGUCUGAUUAGGUAGUUGGCGGGGUAACGGCCCACCAAGCCGACGAUCAGUAGCCGACCUGAGAGGGUGACCGGCCACAUUGGGACUGAGACACGGCCCAGACUCCUACGGGAGGCAGCAGUGGGGAAUAUUGCACAAUGGGGGAAACCCUGAUGCAGCGACGCCGCGUGAAGGAUGAAGUAUUUCGGUAUGUAAACUUCUAUCAGCAGGGAAGAAGAUGACGGUACCUGACUAAGAAGCCCCGGCUAACUACGUG